UACGGAAGGUGCAAGCGUUAUCCGGAAUCACUGGGUUUAAAGGGUGCGUAGGCGGCAUAGUAAGUCAGAGGUGAAAUGUCUGGGCUCAACCGAGGCACUGCCUUUGAUACUGCUAAGCUAGAAUCAAGUUGAGGUAGGCGGAAUGUGACAUGUAGCGGUGAAAUGCAUAGAUAUGUCAUAGAACACCAAUUGCGUAGGCAGCUUACUGGGCUUGUAUUGACGCUGAGGCACGAAAGCGUGGGGAGCGAACAGG
RNAcentral lists this ribosomal RNA (253 nucleotides) under uncultured bacterium. RNAcentral describes it as "partial 16S ribosomal RNA". It matches the Rfam family "Bacterial small subunit ribosomal RNA", at positions 524 to 776 of the family's 1533-position model. The record is from RNAcentral.